GAUGAAGAACGCAGCGAAAUGCGAUAAGUAGUGUGAAUUGCAGAAUUCAGUGAAUCAUCGAAUCUUUGAACGAACAUUGCGCCCCUUGGUAUUCCAUGGGGCAUGCCUGUUCGAGCGUCAUUUGUACCUUCAAGCUCUGCUUGGCGUUGGGUGUUUGUCUCGCCUCUGCGCGCAGACUCGCCUCAAAACGAUUGGCAGCCGGCGUAUUGAUUUCGGAGCGCAGUACAUCUCGCGCUUUGACAACAAAACGACGACGUCCAAAAAGUACAUUUUUUACACUCUUGACCUCGGAUCAGGUAGGGAUACCCGCUGAACUUAAGCAUAUCAAUAAGCGGAGGA
Molecule: unclassified non-coding RNA, 339 nt
Filed under: soil metagenome
Description: partial contains 5.8S ribosomal RNA, internal transcribed spacer 2, and large subunit ribosomal RNA
Rfam family: 5.8S ribosomal RNA (bases 1-120)
Source: RNAcentral